RNAcentral lists this ribosomal RNA (2154 nucleotides) under Triticum aestivum (bread wheat). RNAcentral describes it as "partial small subunit ribosomal RNA". Lineage: Eukaryota; Viridiplantae; Streptophyta; Magnoliopsida; Poales; Poaceae. The record is from RNAcentral.
AUGGAGGCGACCGCGUUGAGCAUCGGCAAGUCCGUGCUGAGCGGGGCCCUUGGCCUCGCCAAGUUCGCCGUUGCGGAGGAGGUGGCCCUGCAGCUGGGAGUACAGCGCGACAAGGCCUUCGUCACGGAUGAGCUGGAGAUGAUGCAGUCUUUCUUGAUGGUGGCGCAUGAUGAGCGAGGUGAGCACAACAAGGUGGUCAGGACCUGGGUGAAGCAGGUCCGCGACGUCGAGGAUUCGCUCCAGGAUUUUGUUGUUCGUGUGGACAAACAGUCUUGGUGGCGCAUUCCUCGCAUGCUUCUCGAUCGUCGCCAUGUUGCCAAGCAGAUGAAGGAGCUGAGGACCAAAGUCGAGGACGUGAGCCAGAGGAACUUGCGCUAUGGCCUCAUCAAGGGUUCUAACUCCACUCAGUCUGCCGCUGAUGCUGCCCCUGCCGUUGAUGCUGCCAUGUUUGGUGUUGAUGAAGCAAGGCAUGCCGCGAAGAAACACCAAGCAAGAUCGGAUUUGGCCCAGCUGAUCAACAAGGAUGGUGAUGAUCAUGUUGGAGUGAUCGGUGUGUGGGGAACAAGUGGCACUGUUGGGCAUAACACCAUCAUCUGGGAGGCCUACGAGAAUCCAGACGUCAAACUGAAUUUUCCGUGCCGAGCAUGGGUCAGGGUGAUGCGUCCUUUUUGUCCAACAGAAUUUGUCCUGAGUAUGGUGAAACAGUUUCACACAGCGGUGGGGGUUGGUGUUCUGCUGGAGGGGGAAAGGAAGGAGCAAGAUUUGGCUCAGGCCUUCAAUGGAUAUGUCAAUGAGAAGAGGUGCCUGAUUGUGCUUACUGGCCUGUCCACAAUUGAAGAAUGGCACCAGAUCAAGACUUGUUUCCCAGAGAACAAACUGGGGAGCCGGAUCAUAGUAUCCACUGAACAUGUUGAAGUUGCAAGCUUAUGCCCCGGGCGGGAAAGUACUGUAUCAGAGCUCAAACAAUUGUCUACUGAACAAACCAUCUAUGCUUUCUACUGGCAGAGCUCUCAUGAUGUUACAUAUCCAUCAAAGCCAGCAUCUAGGUCAAAGUUAUCCAACAUCCCUGAGAAUGAGAUACAAGAAGACCAAUCCAAUGCUUUUGUUGAUGGAAAUAUGAUAGCGCAAAAGAGGUUAACACGCGCCCACACAAUGGCAGGUGUCCUUGAGGAAUUUCAGCUUAUUGGGCGAGAGAAAGAAAAAUCUGAUAUUAUUGCACUAAUCGUAAAACAAGAUAGCACCCAUCAAGUUCAGGUGAUAGUAGUAUGGGGAAUGGGUGGUCUUGGAAAAACCACUCUGAUAAAAAAUGUUUUCCAGAGCAAAGAAGUCAGUGGCCUGUUUGGGAAAUAUGCUUUUGUCACAGUCUUGCGGCCUUUCAAGCUUGAGGAGCUCCUUAGGAGCUUGGCAUUGCAAUUAGAUGCAAACAAGGGAUCCAUGGACUUUGUAGGUGACACCCAAAAAAACAUUGGUUUGAUGGGAGUUGCAGACUUGAUUGAAGUGUUGGGCAGACGUUCAGCAGGAAAGAGGUGUUUGAUUGUUCUCGAUGACCUCUCAGCUAUGGUAGAAUGGGAUAAAAUAUCGGCAAGUUUAGGUGAAAUAAAAAAUCUGGUUAUUGUGAUCACCACAAGGCGAGAGGAUAUUGCUAAACAUUGUUGCCAAAACCCAGAAUGCAUACGCUUGCUCAACGGUCUUGAAGAAGAGGAUGCAAGUAACCUGUUCAAAAGAAAGGUAUUUAGGAAUAUGACUACUGAUUUGGUGGAGCAAUAUCCUGCAUUGGUCGAACCAGCAAAACUAAUCCUGAAGAAGUGCAAUGGACUUCCCCUUGCCAUAGUCACCAUAGGUGGUUUCUUGGCUGAUCAACCAACAAAAACUGCUGCAGAGUGGAGGAAACUGAAUGAGCAUAUCAAUGUUGAGCUGGAGAUGAAUCCAAAGUUUGAAGUCAUAAAAACAGUCCUCAUGAAAAGUUACGAUGGCCUACCCUAUUAUCUCAAGCCUUGUUUCUUGUACAUGUCCAUCUUCCCUGAAGACCGCAAUGUUAGUCGGAGGCGUUUGGCUUACCAAUGGGUUGCUGAAGGUUAUGCGCGAGACAAGUCCACAGCAGAUAGAUACUUCAUGGAACUCAGAGAGAGAAGCAUGAUAUUACCAACUCAGUAA